GACGAUUAUGGAUCGAAUAUCGUUCCAUAGACCUACCGCGAAACGCAAUUUUCGGAGUUUUUGACAGCACGAAAUUCGUAAAGAACUGUCAAAACACACGUUACCUCAAGAGCUAACGUUGUUCUUUCGUUUAUCACAGUGCUGCCAGAUAACUCACCUUUCAGCUUUUUAUCCCGUUUUUGUGGCAGUGAAUCCGCGCAUUGUUUUGCAAAUAUUUUGAAUGUCCUCGGUUUUUGAGCACUGCAGCGGGAUGAAUAAAUAGAUAUUUGGGGAUUAUGCUCGAUCAACUCGCAGUUUCAAAGCAGUGCUCCUGUUUUUUCAAUUUCAUGACCUGGCAAUUUCAUUCUGUCAUAAUAGGGUAUCAUGCCCUUCGUGUAUCUUAUUAUUAUAGUUGAUUGUGUCGUGCUGCGUGAAAUUGUACUGUUUGUUUGUGAACUAUUACAAAGAUGUUUCUGUCGCAAGAGAACCUGGCUGAAGAAAUCCGGCAACAAGCCGCUUCUAUAGGUGCCUAAUGCGAGAAAAAUUCCGCUAAGUGAAAGUUCUGGACGCGGAGUUUGUAAAUACCACGCUGCAUAUUUCCACAUCCACGACGAAAUAGCUGUAGGACCCUGUUCAAUAAGGCAGAUUAUCAAGAUGAAGUGGGCCGGGACCAAAUGGAUGCCUGUUUCUCAGCAAGCGGUGUCCAACUGCUAAAUUACCCCGGUCUUAUCAGUAUGGGCUAUCAUUAAAGCCGGGGGUUUUCGAUGCACACAUGUGACCCUUCAUGGGCCAUAGGAAUAUGAAGACCGCU
Long non-coding RNA from Cydia splendana, 790 nucleotides. RefSeq lists it as uncharacterized. The transcript is spliced from 3 exons. NCBI's taxonomy places the organism in Eukaryota, Metazoa, Arthropoda, Insecta, Lepidoptera, Tortricidae. The record is from RefSeq and is a predicted model, not a curated record.